UUGAAAGGGAAACGAUUGAAGUCAGUCGUACCGACGAGAAAUCAGCUCUUUGAGUGUGGACUUGUGGGCGUGCGUGAGCUUUUACGGUCUCGCUGUUUGCAAUGUUUGUUCUUUUUGGGUGUACUUUUUCGUAUGGUAGGCCAACAUCAGUUUCGAAUACCAUAAAAUGACCGGCGGAAUGUAGCUUCGAUCUCGUAUUGAAGUGUUAUAGCCUCUGGUAGAUGUGGUGUUUGGGACUGAGGAUUGCAACGAAUAUCCUUUGGGCUAUCCGUCUGAUCUCUGAAAGUUGCUUAGGUGCCGAAAGCGUGCUUACGGUUAUUUAAGUUGACGGUCAAAAGGUUAGAACGUGAUUACAUUCGUUAAGGAUGUUGACGUA
RNAcentral lists this ribosomal RNA (376 nucleotides) under uncultured Glomeromycotina. RNAcentral's name for it is "LSU rRNA". The record is from RNAcentral. Lineage: Eukaryota; Fungi; Glomeromycota.